UGGGGGAUAUUGCACAAUGGUCGAAAGCCUGAUGCAGCUACGCCGCGUGGGGUAUGAAGGCCUUCGGGUUGUAAACUUCUUUUGCUCUGAACUAGGCAUGCCUUUGGGGUGUGUUGCGUGUUGGGGUUGAUUAGCGCCGGCUAACUACGUGCCAGCAGCCGCGGUAAUACGUAGGGCGCGAGCGUUUUCCGUAAUUAUUUGGCGUAAUGUGCUUGUAGGUGGCUGGUUGCGUCUGUCUUGAAAGCUCAUGGCUUAACUGUGGGUUUGCGGAGGGUACGGGGUGGGUUGAGUGCAGUAGGGGAGGCUGGAAUUCCUGGUGGAGAGGUGGAAUGCGCAGAUAUCAGGAGGAAUACAGGUGGGGAAGGAGGGUCUCUGGGCUGUUACUGACGCUGAGGAGCGAAAGAGUGGGGAGAGAAAAGG
Molecule: ribosomal RNA, 420 nt
Filed under: Fusobacteriota bacterium
Lineage: Bacteria; Fusobacteriati; Fusobacteriota
Description: Fusobacteria bacterium partial 16S ribosomal RNA
Rfam family: Bacterial small subunit ribosomal RNA
Source: RNAcentral